This 465-nucleotide ribosomal RNA is filed under the name Vreelandella stevensii. Its description in RNAcentral is "partial 16S ribosomal RNA". It matches the Rfam family "Bacterial small subunit ribosomal RNA", at positions 338 to 795 of the family's 1533-position model. Lineage: Bacteria; Pseudomonadati; Pseudomonadota; Gammaproteobacteria; Oceanospirillales; Halomonadaceae. The record is from RNAcentral.
CCUACGGGUGGCUGCAGUGGGGAAUAUUGGACAAUGGGGGGAACCCUGAUCCAGCCAUGCCGCGUGUGUGAAGAAGGCCCUCGGGUUGUAAAGCACUUUCAGUGAGGAAGAACGCCUGGUGGUUAAUACCCAUCAGGAAAGACAUCACUCACAGAAGAAGCACCGGCUAACUCCGUGCCAGCAGCCGCGGUAAUACGGAGGGUGCGAGUGUUAAUCGGAAUUACUGGGCGUAAAGCGCGCGUAGGUGGCUUGAUAAGCCGGUUGUGAAAGCCCCGGGCUCAACCUGGGAACGGCAUCCGGAACUGUCAAGCUAGAGUGCAGGAGAGGAAGGUAGAAUUCCCGGUGUAGCGGUGAAAUGCGUAGAGAUCGGGAGGAAUACCAGUGGCGAAGGCGGCCUUCUGGACUGACACUGACACUGAGGUGCGAAAGCGUGGGUAGCAAACAGGAUUAGAUACCCGAGUAGUC